GCGUAUGAGUUAACCCUAGUUUUCUGUUCUGCGAAUUGGUGAUGUUGUGCCAAACACACUAUCCGAUUUUCAUACAUUUGGAUUCGCGGUCCAAUGUGUGAUUGCAUGUGUGGCAUUAUUUUGACUUGCCUGUGUGACAUUGUUUUGAUUUGCCUGUGUGGCAUUAUUUUAGUUGCCUAUGUGGCAUCAUUUGAUUUGCCUGUGUGGCAUUAUUUUGACUUGCCUGUGUGGCAAGGUAUAUUCUGAGCUCAUUCGGUAUAAAAUAACUCCAGCCAUUUGUUUCAGCCUAUUAUUUU
Molecule: long non-coding RNA, 296 nt
Filed under: Panax ginseng (ginseng)
Lineage: Eukaryota; Viridiplantae; Streptophyta; Magnoliopsida; Apiales; Araliaceae
Description: long non-coding RNA (PGIN_LNC003314)
Source: RNAcentral